Molecule: ribosomal RNA, 402 nt
Filed under: bacterium
Lineage: Bacteria
Description: partial 16S ribosomal RNA
Rfam family: Bacterial small subunit ribosomal RNA
Source: RNAcentral
UGGGGAAUAUUGCACAAUGGAGGGAACUCUGAUGCAGCGACGCCGCGUGAACGAAGAAGGCUUUCGAGUCGUAAAGUUCUUUUAUAUGGGAAGAUAAUGACGGUACCAUAAGAAAAAGCCCCGGCUAACUACGUGCCAGCAGCCGCGGUAAUACGUAGGGGGCUAGCGUUGUCCGGAAUCACUGGGCGUAAAGGGUUCGCAGGCGGAAAUGCAAGUCAGGUGUAAAAGGCAGUAGCUUAACUACUGUAAGCAUUUGAAACUGCAUAUCUUGAGAAGAGUAGAGGUAAGUGGAAUUUUUAGUGUAGCGGUGAAAUGCGUAGAUAUUAAAAAGAAUACCGGUGGCGAAGGCGGCUUACUGGGCUCAUUCUGACGCUGAGGAACGAAAGCGUGGGUAGCAAACAG